AUGAACGCUGGCGGCGUGCCUAAUACAUGCAAGUCGAGCGAACGGACGAGAAGCUUGCUUUUCUGAUGUUAGCGGCGGACGGGUGAGUAACACGUGGAUAACCUACCUAUAAGACUGGGAUAACUUCGGGAAACCGGAGCUAAUACCGGAUAAUAUUUUGAACCGCCUGGUUCAAAAGUGAAAGACGGUCUUGCUGUCACUUAUAGAUGGAUCCGCGCUGCAUUAGCUAGUUGGUAAGGUAACGGCUUACCAAGGCAACGAUGCAUAGCCGACCUGAGAGGGUGAUCGGCCACACUGGAACUGAGACACGGUCCAGACUCCUACGGGAGGCAGCAGUAGGGAAUCUUCCGCAAAGGGCGAAAGCCUGACGGAGCAACGCCGCGUGAGUGAUGAAGGUCUUCGGAUCGUAAAACUCUGUUAUUAGGGAAGAACAUAUGUGUAAGUAACUGUGCACAUCUUGACGGUACCUAAUCAGAAAGCCACGGCUAACUACGUG
Molecule: ribosomal RNA, 496 nt
Filed under: uncultured bacterium
Lineage: Bacteria
Description: partial 16S ribosomal RNA
Rfam family: Bacterial small subunit ribosomal RNA
Source: RNAcentral